This 497-nucleotide ribosomal RNA is filed under the name uncultured bacterium. RNAcentral describes it as "partial 16S ribosomal RNA". It matches the Rfam family "Bacterial small subunit ribosomal RNA", at positions 28 to 507 of the family's 1533-position model. The record is from RNAcentral.
GAUGAACGCUGGCGGCGUGCCUAAUACAUGCCAGUCGAGCGAACGGACGAGAAGCUUGCUUCUCUGAUGUUAGCGGCGGACGGGUGAGUAACACGUGGAUAACCUACCUAUAAGACUGGGAUAACUUCGGGAAACCGUAGCUAAUACCGGAUAAUAUUUUGAACCGCAUGGUUCAAAAGUGAAAGACGGUCUUGCUGUCACUUAUAGAUGGAUCCGCGCUGCAUUAGCUAGUUGGUAAGGUAACGGCUUACCAAGGCAACGAUGCAUAGCCGACCUGAGAGGGUGAUCGGCCACACUGGAACUGAGACACGGCCCAGACUCCUACGGGAGGCAGCAGUAGGGAAUCUUCCACAAUGGGCGCAAGCCUGACGGAGCAACGCCGCGUGAGUGAUGAAGGUCUUCGGGUCGUAAAACUCUGUUAUUAGGGAAGAACACAUGUGUAAGUAACUGUGCACAUCUUGACGGUACCUAAACAGAAAGCCACGGCUAACUACGUG